Molecule: ribosomal RNA, 281 nt
Filed under: uncultured Rhodocyclaceae bacterium
Lineage: Bacteria; Pseudomonadati; Pseudomonadota; Betaproteobacteria; Rhodocyclales; Rhodocyclaceae
Description: partial 16S ribosomal RNA
Rfam family: Bacterial small subunit ribosomal RNA
Source: RNAcentral
UUGUCAUUAGUUGCCAUCAUUUGGUUGGGCACUCUAAUGAGACUGCCGGUGAACCAAACCGGGAAGGAAGGUGGGGAUGACGUCAAGUCCUCAUCGGCCCUUAUGGGUAGGGCUUCACACGUCAUACAAUGGUCGGUACAGAGGGUUGCCAACCCGCGAGGGGGAGCUAAUCCCACAAAGCCGAUCGUAGUCCGGAUCGCAGUCUGCAACUCGACUGCGUGAAGUCGGAAUCGCUAGUAAUCGUGGAUCAGCAUGUCACGGUGAAUACGUUCCCGGGUCUU